This is a small nucleolar RNA of Sceloporus undulatus (fence lizard), 96 nucleotides long. RefSeq annotates it as small nucleolar RNA SNORD125. The record is from RefSeq and is a predicted model, not a curated record. The transcript has a single exon. Lineage: Eukaryota; Metazoa; Chordata; Lepidosauria; Squamata; Phrynosomatidae.
UGACAAGAUGGCCUCUCAUGAUGACUCCAUUCUUCCUGAAGAGCUAGUUUGAUGAGCUGAAUCCUCUGAGAAGUUGGCUGAAGAGGCUGACCACCU